UCUUCGCUUCAGGAGCUUCAGGAGAUUGUGUUUCUCGUAGUGCUUGAGAUUCCACUUCUAUUGUUCUGCUGAUUUGUUGCACCAUCAGCUCUCCUCAAACAGGCUCGUGAACUUUCGGUCAACAUGGAAGCAGCAGUUGGCCCUUCGGCAAAUGGAAGGAGCAGGAAGUAAACUCGAUCGGUUAAAUGGGCACAGCAAGGCGACACAAUGGCAUUUCUUGUUCACGGCUGCAUCCCGAAUGACCACCCCAACAAUCAAAAUGUUUCACCACAAAGCCUGAUUCUUCCCCUGGCUCUUCCCUUCUCCUGUGUGCAUCUAUAAAAUCCUCUGAUUUGCGUCUUACCAGGCAUGUUUAGAUGUUGGCAUUCUCUCUAAUACUGCCUGGUAAUGCUGCCAAUCACACGGAAGUAGAUCUUCAUGACCUUCCAUCUCAGUCAGUACAGGACCCUUUUGGAUGUUAGCAGUGUAGCUUCUGUUCAUCUGCUGACCUAAUGUAUCUUUAGUACCAUUAACGACGAGGUGAAUCGAUGCAAAUCCUCAAAUUUAAUCAGUAUAUGCAAUAAAUGUUAUUUCAUUCGAA
This is a long non-coding RNA of Hemibagrus wyckioides, 580 nucleotides long. RefSeq lists it as uncharacterized. The record is from RefSeq and is a predicted model, not a curated record. NCBI's taxonomy places the organism in Eukaryota, Metazoa, Chordata, Actinopteri, Siluriformes, Bagridae. The transcript has 2 exons.